This 494-nucleotide ribosomal RNA is filed under the name uncultured bacterium. RNAcentral's name for it is "partial 16S ribosomal RNA". It matches the Rfam family "Bacterial small subunit ribosomal RNA", at positions 28 to 507 of the family's 1533-position model. The record is from RNAcentral.
GACGAACGCUGGCGGCGUGCUUAACACAUGCAAGUCGAACGGAAAGGCCUGCUUUCCCUUGUGGAUUGCGGGUACUCGAGUGGCGAACGGGUGAGUAACACGUGAGUGAUCUGCCCCCAACUUGGGUAUAAGCCUGUGAUACUGCGUCUAAUUCCCGGUAGGACUGCAGGGUGGUGCCUGUGGUGGAAAACGAUUUUCUAGUGGGUGGGGAUGAGCUCGCGGCCUAUCAGCUUGUUGGUGGGGUAAUGGCCUGCCAAGGCGGCGACGGGUAGCCGGCCUGAGAGGGUGGACGGCCACAUUGGGACUGAGACCCGGCCCAGACUCCUACGGGCGGCAGCAGUGGGGGAUAUUGCAGCAUGGGCGGAAGCCUGAUGCAGCGACGGCGCGUGGGGGAUGACGGCAUUCGGGUUGUAAACUACUUGCGACCGCGAGGAAGCCACCUGGUUGGAAGGGUGGUGACGUUAGUGGUAGAAGAAGCACCGGCUAACUACGUG